CACUAGGGCAGGGGCUUCCCAAGGGGACAGAUUCUCACCACCAGGCGCCAGCUUUGGGCCGGCCCACUCACACUCUCCCUCCCUUAGCACACACUAAACCCCCCGAAUCAGGGGGUCUCAGCCCCCCUCCUGUUUGGCAGGGACCAGAUCAGAGAUCUGGGUCAGUUAGGAUCAAAUAUUCGGGAUCCGGAUUUGAAAGUCUAGGGGAGGAUUCAAAAUUAGUCCCACUUGAUUAGCAGGUUGGAAAUAUUUUAGACUUACUGGGGUUAAAGGUUACGUUUAAAUCGCAAGGUAUCUGACAGUCCGGCUGAGGUUUGGGGGGGGAGGGCAUCUGGCUGAGUUAAUUUGGAGAUUAGAUCUAGGGUUAGGUUUAUAGAGUCUUCUAGAGCUGAGCUGGGUCAAAGAUUGAGGCUGAAGGAGGAUGGAAGGAACUCAGAAACGCCCCCAGAAACCAUCCAAAGCUGAAGUGGGGGAGAGCUCAGAAACCAUCCAAAGCUGAAGGAGGAGGGGGGGAGCUCAGAAACCAUCCAAAGCUAAAGGAGGAGGGGGGGGGGCCGGAACCCGAACCCCCCUUGGUUAGAGUUAGGGUUAGUUCUGCUAUUUGGGCCUUGUGGUCCAGAGGUGUUAGGCUGAAAGCUAGAAGCAGUCCAGUUCCUCCCGGGACAGAAAUGGGACGGGCGUCGUUAAGAAAGGAUGAAAAGAUCUCAUCUUCUCUCUCUCUUAUCCCUCCCUGAUCUGGAUCCACUAAACCCAGAAUGAAAAGUUGCAAGAGGAGAAUGAUGUCCUGAGAUCCACUGAAGAGGUACUACUCAGGGACAAUGACAAGAUAAAAAAGAAAAUACUGAAGCUAAAAGAACGCCACGAAUCUCUGCAAGACGAUAUCUACACGCUGGAGGAACGUCUGUGUUCUUGCACCUGCCCUGAGAACCGAUCGAACCACGAACACAAAGAGAGCAAAAGGUGUGGCCGCUGGCCCCGGUCUUCAAGGAAAGGAGAGAGGGCAGGCGGCUGGCGGGAGGAUGGGGCGGGCAGUGGGGAGGAACCUCCGUGGGACUUGAGGGGCCCUCAGUGUGACAUCUCUCUCCCCUCCCCUUUUCUUCCUCUCUCUAACACCUGGGGCUCCCACCUCAGGGCUGCGAACACAGGGCGGCGGCUCCCGUGAGUCCCCGAGGCCGGAUGCACCUCCCCGUCCCCCCACGGAAACAAACCCCCUCCGGGGUUCAAUAAACUUCUCUCCGGGGCUGGGACCCCCUCUGAUUCCCAAAUGUUUGCUUCCUAGGACGUGAAGAGUUUUUCAAUGGGGAGGGGCCCCCUUGGGUCCGGACCCGAGACAAAUUCCGCGAUGAGGAGGCGGGGUCCGGGAGGGGGCGGGGCCCUAGGGAAGCGUUUAUGGGGGAGGCCCAGGAUUGGCAGUGCAGGAGCAAGGGCGGGG
This 1432-nucleotide long non-coding RNA is filed under the name Sarcophilus harrisii (Tasmanian devil). RNAcentral's name for it is "lncRNA (ENSSHAG00000023771.1)". Lineage: Eukaryota; Metazoa; Chordata; Mammalia; Dasyuromorphia; Dasyuridae. The record is from RNAcentral.